This 210-nucleotide long non-coding RNA is filed under the name Felis catus (domestic cat). RNAcentral describes it as "lncRNA (ENSFCAG00000051368.1)". Lineage: Eukaryota; Metazoa; Chordata; Mammalia; Carnivora; Felidae. The record is from RNAcentral.
UCUCAACCGCUUGGAAAGGGCUUAUGUCAAACUGCUUUUUCUGAGUGUUUGCUGCGAGUGGGUUGAGAGCAGCUGGGUUUGGUAGCCGAGGACCCUGAUGGGCGGGGGCGUCGAGCGGGAGGCAGCCUGCACGUGAUGGACAAAAUUCCCGUCCAAAGACCAAAGCACCUUUGAGCAUUAUCUGCAGUAUUCCGCCAUUUGCACACAUAC